RNAcentral lists this ribosomal RNA (787 nucleotides) under uncultured bacterium. Its description in RNAcentral is "bacterial SSU rRNA". It matches the Rfam family "Bacterial small subunit ribosomal RNA", at positions 60 to 830 of the family's 1533-position model. The record is from RNAcentral.
AGUCGACGGGAUUUAUUUGUAGCAAUACCGAUAAAGUUCAGUGGCGUAAGGGUGCGUAACACGUGGGCAAUCUGCCCUGAAGCGCGGGAUAGCUUGGCGAAAGCCAAAUUAAUACCGCAUGUGGCUACUGGAGGAUUCUCCGGGAUGCUAAAGACGGCGCAAGCUGUCACUUCAGGAUGAGCCCGCGGCCUAUCAGCUAGUUGGUGAGGUAACGGCUCACCAAGGCUAUGACGGGUAGCUGGUCUGAGAGGACGACCAGCCACACUGGAACUGAGACACGGUCCAGACACCUACGGGUGGCAGCAGUCGAGAAUUUUUCUCAAUGGGGGAAACCCUGAAGGAGCGACGCCGCGUGGAGGAUGAAGGUUUUCGGAUUGUAAACUCCUGUCAUUUGGGAACAAACCUUUCAUUUAACUGAUGAAAGACUGAUAGUACCAGAAGAGGAAGAGACGGCUAACUCUGUGCCAGCAGCCGCGGUAAUACAGAGGUCUCAACCGUUGUUCGGAUUCAUUGGGCGUAAAGGGUGCGUAGGCGGUCGCGCAAGUCGGAUGUGAAAUCUCAGGGCUCAACCCUGAAACUGCAUUCGAUACUGCGUGGCUAGAGUGCUGGAGAGGAGACUGGAAUUUACGGUGUAGCAGUGAAAUGCGUAGAUAUCGUAAGGAAGACCAGUGGCGAAGGCGAGUCUCUGGACAGCAACUGACGCUGAGGCACGAAGGCCAGGGGAGCAAACGGGAUUAGAUACCCCGGUAGUCCUGGCAGUAAACGGUGCACGUUUGGUGUAGGCGGA